This 262-nucleotide ribosomal RNA is filed under the name uncultured bacterium. RNAcentral's name for it is "partial 16S ribosomal RNA". It matches the Rfam family "Bacterial small subunit ribosomal RNA", at positions 28 to 290 of the family's 1533-position model. The record is from RNAcentral.
GACGAACGCUGGCGGCGUGCUUAACACAUGCAAGUCGAGCGGUAAGGCCCUCGGGUACGACGAGCGGCGAACGGGUGAGUAACACGUGGGUGACCUGCCUCUAGCUCUGGGAGUAAGCCUGGGAAACGUAGGGUCGUAAUACCGGAUAUGACUCCACGGCGCAUGUUGUGGGGUGGAAAGCCUUGUGUGGCUAGAGAUGGGCCCGCGGCCUAUCAGCUUGUUGGUGGGGUGAUGGCCUACCAAGGCGACGACGGGUAGCCGG